RNAcentral lists this ribosomal RNA (465 nucleotides) under Vreelandella stevensii. Its description in RNAcentral is "partial 16S ribosomal RNA". It matches the Rfam family "Bacterial small subunit ribosomal RNA", at positions 338 to 795 of the family's 1533-position model. Lineage: Bacteria; Pseudomonadati; Pseudomonadota; Gammaproteobacteria; Oceanospirillales; Halomonadaceae. The record is from RNAcentral.
CCUACGGGGGGCAGCAGUGGGGAAUACUGGACAAUGGGGGCAACCCUGAUCCAGCCAUGCCGCGUGUGUGAAGAAGGCCCUCGGGUUGUAAAGCACUUUCAGUGAGGAAGAACGCCUGGUGGUUAAUACCCAUCAGGAAAGACAUCACUCACAGAAGAAGCACCGGCUAACUCCGUGCCAGCAGCCGCGGUAAUACGGAGGGUGCGAGCGUUAAUCGGAAUUACUGGGCGUAAAGCGCGCGUAGGUGGCUUGAUAAGCCGGUUGUGAAAGCCCCGGGCUCAACCUGGGAACGGCAUCCGGAACUGUCAAGCUAGAGUGCAGGAGAGGAAGGUAGAAUUCCCGGUGUAGCGGUGAAAUGCGUAGAGAUCGGGAGGAAUACCAGUGGCGAAGGCGGCCUUCUGGACUGACACUGACACUGAGGUGCGAAAGCGUGGGUAGCAAACAGGAUUAGAUACCCUGGUAGUC